AAUAAACGAAUUUCUAUAUUUUUGUUUAAAAUUUUUGACUCUUUGUCUUAUUUAAAAUUUUUUUAUGAUUAAUAUUUUUAUUGUUACUACAUGAUAAAACAUGAAUAGUAUUUUACGUGUGACUAAUUUUUUUUCAACUUUUUAAUAAUUUUUUUAAAUAAGACGGAUGGUCAAAUCCUCGACCUACAGAAUCCAG
This 196-nucleotide microRNA precursor is filed under the name Oryza brachyantha (malo sina). Its description in RNAcentral is "MIR812 microRNA precursor family". It matches the Rfam family "MIR812 microRNA precursor family". The record is from Rfam by way of RNAcentral. Lineage: Eukaryota; Viridiplantae; Streptophyta; Magnoliopsida; Poales; Poaceae.